Molecule: long non-coding RNA, 582 nt
Filed under: Phoenix dactylifera (date palm)
Lineage: Eukaryota; Viridiplantae; Streptophyta; Magnoliopsida; Arecales; Arecaceae
Description: long non-coding RNA (PDAC_LNC005972)
Source: RNAcentral
ACCAAGUCAUCAAGAUCAACCAACAAACCAGCAACAAAAAUCACAACACAAGGAACAUACCGAUGAUCAAGCACGAAAUCACCUAAAACACUUAAGAGGAGUCUCGGAGCAACAUCGACAACAAUAGGAGCAGCCAAACAAAGAACUGGUUACUCAACCAUCGAGCUACAUUUCAUCAAACAACUUCAAAGCACCUCAACAAAACUAUUAAUGACCAAGCACAAAACCAAUCCAAGUGCUUAGUAGGAGCAUCAAAGCAAUGGCAACUAUAAUGGGAGCAACCAAGCAAAAGCCAACCAUCAACCUUUUAGCCACAUUUCAUCAAACACAUGCAAGAACAUUUGAUCCAAACUAGAUUACCAGCUAGAAUGCUAUGAAGAAGCCAAGCGAACCUAGUGUCACCCUUUACAGAACUCACAUCAUGACACAUCCAGAGUCAAAAGCCCUCCUCAACAAUUGUAAUCCCUUUCCAGCUCUUGAAAAUCCCACAAUGCAUACAUCACAAAGGCAGUAACACAAGCCUUUUCAUAAAGAUACCAGAGCAAAACUGGAAGACAAACAAAGUUUUGCCAACAUUUCCCC